CAUAUAUACAUUCGAACCACUUUUGGUCAUAUUGCUCUUUAUCGAGAAAUCAAAGAAGCUAUACAGGGGUUUUCUCGGGCCUAUUUAUAUGGUACCUAACGUAAUUCUAUGAUACCCGUGGGACUUCGGGGCUCUCCGGUUCAGCUAGGCACUGUUGGUCAUAUUGCUCUUUAUCGAGAAAUCAAAGAAGCUAUACAGGGGUUUUCUCGGGCCUAUUUAUAUGGUACCUAACGUAAUUCUAUGAUACCCGUGGGACUUCGGGGCUCUCUGGUUCAGCUAGGUCCAUAGUUCUGGAAUUUAUACGCGAAUCAUGAUCGAUAAAAGGAAGUUUUACAAUCACCGACUCAAACUCAUUAUCGAAU
RNAcentral lists this long non-coding RNA (362 nucleotides) under Nicotiana benthamiana. RNAcentral's name for it is "long non-coding RNA (NBEN_LNC023666)". Lineage: Eukaryota; Viridiplantae; Streptophyta; Magnoliopsida; Solanales; Solanaceae. The record is from RNAcentral.